AGUGAACGCUGGCGGUAGGCCUAACACAUGCAAGUCGAACGGCAGCACAGUAAGAGCUUGCCCUUACGGGUGGCGAGUGGCGGACGGGUGAGGAAUACAUAGGAAUCCACUUUUUCGUGGGGGAUAACGUAGGGAAACUUACGCUAAUACCGCAUACGACCUACGGGUGAAAGCAGGGGAUCUUCGGAGCCUGCCCGAUUGAAUGAGCUGAUGUCGCAUUAGCUAGUUGGCGGGGUAAAGGCCCACCAAGGCGACGAUCCGUAGCUGGUCUGAGAGGAUGAUCAGCCACACUGGAACUGAGACACGGUCCAGACUCCUACGGGAGGCAGCAGUGGGGAAUAUUGGACAAUGGGCGCAAGCCUGAUCCAGCCAUGCCGCGUGGGUGAAGAAGGCCUUCGGGUUGUAAAACCCUUUUGUUGGGGAAGAAAAGCAGUAUAUUAAAACCCCGCUAUUCUGACGGUACCCAAACAAAAAGCACCGGCUAACUACGUG
Molecule: ribosomal RNA, 492 nt
Filed under: uncultured bacterium
Lineage: Bacteria
Description: partial 16S ribosomal RNA
Rfam family: Bacterial small subunit ribosomal RNA
Source: RNAcentral